GCAUUUUGCAUCAGAAUGUUACGAGGUGGUUCACCUGACGGCCGAUUUGGACUGUAAAAGUCGCUGGAAAGGGAUGCGGCACCCGCCUCGUUCGACGACAACAAAGAGGAGAGGAUAGCAACAAAGGACCAAAGUUGAGGGCCCCAGGAAAGAGGUACAUACAGGAGCACUGGUGAAGCAACGUCUGGUGCUACAAUAAUGGUGCCACAGUAUCGUGAACAUGUACAUGUGUGCGCACAUGGACAAGCAAUGAUAAUGGCAACCUGUUUCCGGUAAAAUGGCUCGUGAUACUCUGGCAUGUCAUGGAUAUUUGGAUCAUAACGUUGCUUCACAUAUUCAUCAGCAUCAAGGUCACCAUGCAAGAUGUGCACAUCAAGACAUUGGGAAGCUGCUUUGGCCCCACAAAGGAGAUUUACAGUGUUUCAAGCUAGCAGCAAUUACUAAGCAACCGUCCUGCAUUCCUCACUUACAGGAACUGGAACAUUCGAAGUGUUGUAGGGGAUAGUGGGUGUACUUCCCCUUCUGAAGGACAUCCCGCCAUUGUGUGCACUAAAAGUUUCCUUGUCUCAGUGCUGUUACUCGGUCACGUAUCUAGUAUGUCAUGGUAAGUAGGUCAUGUAUCACUUCCACCUUAUCCGUGUGCCACAUAUUGUAUCUACACAUAAGGAAUGUGUGUGAGAAAACUACUGAAACACAGAAUUGCAUUGCUUCUUUACUGCACAAGCCUGUUCUGUCUGUUUUAGGAAUUCUAAUAAUGCUAAUUUUCAUGUCAGGGUAUGUCCAUGGGCUUUCUGGUGCUCUGCUCGAUCUCUGUGGACGAUAGCUGUUCGUGAGCCCCCGAACAGAAGGAAGAGACUACACAAGGGGGGCUCACCGCAAGAGUUACAGUGAAUGAGUAAACGCUAACAACUCUGCAAGGCACUAAAUGCAAGUCGACAGCAGAAGGGCUUCAGCGAACAUGUACAAACAGUCGCAUACCUAGGAUUUUUAGUUUUUGGCAUUUCAUUCGCCAUUAAUCGGUGGCUUCUGUAGAAGCGUAGGGGAUGGGGAAACAAACACAAGAUUUUGGAGCACACAGUAAAUGGUACUCCAUGUUCCUUAGCCAUUUUGCUACAUGAAGUGCAAGGGGAAAAUCGAAGGGGUUGGGACGCUUUCAUAGACGUGGUUUGUUACAUCAUGGGUGCAUCAUGCAUUGCGCUCCAUAAUGUUGAUCAAUCUGUUUUUUUUUUCAUGUGUCAUACUUCGCGAGAUAAAAGCUCUCGAACAGAUGCCUGACUAACGCACGAAUGUCAAGGACCUCAGAGAUACAGCCAAUUCCACUGAUAGCCCUGAGGUCUGUGACGUCAGAGCUGCUUGAGGUUUGCUAUUCAAGGUGCCCAUUUUCUACGCUCUAUUCCAACCUUGGUUUGUAAAACACACAUUGGUACGAAGAAGCUUUUAUUUUCAUGUGGGAUGGUGGUGUUGCAACCCCUUUCACUGGUUUGUGGGGAAUGACUUGAUUCUGCACCUAAGACUUACCACAGAACACCUGAACUGACACCUGUGUUCUGUCCAUCUUGCAGUGUGCUUGUUUACCUGUUGCGAGGGAUUAUGGGGGGAGUCAGAUAGUUUUAUGAUCUCUGUGUAUUCAAUAAAAUUAUGGUCUAUUCAG
Molecule: long non-coding RNA, 1651 nt
Organism: Ornithodoros turicata
Lineage: Eukaryota; Metazoa; Arthropoda; Arachnida; Ixodida; Argasidae
Exons: 2
Source: RefSeq, a predicted model, not a curated record